GAUGAACGCUGGCGGCGUGCCUAAUACAUGCAAGUCGAGCGAACAGAUGAGGAGCUUGCUCCUCUGACGUUAGCGGCGGACGGGUGAGUAACACGUGGAUAACCUACCUAUAAGACUGGGAUAACUUCGGGAAACCGGAGCUAAUACCGGAUAAUAUAUUGAACCGCAUGGUUCAAUAGUGAAAGACGGUUUUGCUGUCACUUAUAGAUGGAUCCGCGCCGCAUUAGCUAGUUGGUAAGGUAACGGCUUACCAAGGCAACGAUGCGUAGCCGACCUGAGAGGGUGAGCGGACAGACUGUAAGUGAGGCCCGGUAGAGACGCCGACGGGAGGCAGCAGCACGGAAUCCUCCGCGAUGGGCGAAAGCCUGACGGAGCAAAGCCGGGGGAAUGAUGAUCGUCUUAUGACCCUAAACCUCUGUUGUUAGGGAAGAACAAAAGUGCAAUUAACUAUGAAGAUAAUGACGGUACCUAAACAGAAAGCCACGGCUAGCUACGUG
RNAcentral lists this ribosomal RNA (497 nucleotides) under uncultured bacterium. Its description in RNAcentral is "partial 16S ribosomal RNA". It matches the Rfam family "Bacterial small subunit ribosomal RNA", at positions 28 to 507 of the family's 1533-position model. The record is from RNAcentral.